CCUACGGGGGGCAGCAGUGGGGAAUAUUGGACAAUGGGGGGAACCCUGAUCCAGCCAUGCCGCGUGUGUGAAGAAGGCCCUCGGGUUGUAAAGCACUUUCAGUGAGGAAGAACGCCUGGUGGUUAAUACCCAUCAGGAAAGACAUCACUCACAGAAGAAGCACCGGCUAACUCCGUGCCAGCAGCCGCGGUAAUACGGAGGGUGCGAGCGUUAAUCGGAAUUACUGGGCGUAAAGCGCGCGUAGGUGGCGUGAUAAGCCGGUUGUGAAAGCCCCGGGCUCAACCUGGGAACGGCAUCCGGAACUGUCAAGCUAGAGUGCAGGAGAGGAAGGUAGAAUUCCCGGUGUAGCGGUGAAAUGCGUAGAGAUCGGGAGGAAUACCAGUGGCGAAGGCGGCCUUCUGGACUGACACUGACACUGAGGUGCGAAAGCGUGGGUAGCAAACAGGAUUAGAUACCCGUGUAGUC
RNAcentral lists this ribosomal RNA (465 nucleotides) under Vreelandella stevensii. RNAcentral's name for it is "partial 16S ribosomal RNA". It matches the Rfam family "Bacterial small subunit ribosomal RNA", at positions 338 to 795 of the family's 1533-position model. The record is from RNAcentral. Lineage: Bacteria; Pseudomonadati; Pseudomonadota; Gammaproteobacteria; Oceanospirillales; Halomonadaceae.